Long non-coding RNA from Micropterus salmoides (largemouth bass), 506 nucleotides. RefSeq lists it as uncharacterized. The transcript has 2 exons. The record is from RefSeq and is a predicted model, not a curated record. NCBI's taxonomy places the organism in Eukaryota, Metazoa, Chordata, Actinopteri, Centrarchiformes, Centrarchidae.
UAACUUGUAUGAAAAAUAUGGCUCUGGCAGGACAUAAUUUCACUGUUUUCAAACAAAUAGGGCCUGAGCCACAUGACCUGAAGAGUGCAGACUAUACAAACACAAACAAGGCAAAACACAUUGUGAUCCGUGUAUGACCAGAUUUGGAUUUCCAAACCUUGAGUCCCAGCCUGAACUGAACAGAAAAAAACCCAUGGUGGACUAUUUCACGAAAGGAGCAAGUGGUAGCGCAGCUUUCACGUCCAGAUAUGGGCUCCUCUGGGUGUGGGACCUCACAUCAGCCUCAUGCUUCCAGACAGGUCAUUCAGCAGCAAGUCAACAGAAGCCUCCUCCCACCUUCAAAACCACUUUUGGUGAUAGGAAAUACAUCAAUCUGUUCAGAAAUCUUCACCCUUGGCCACUUCCUCUUUUGCACAUGGCUUAAUUGUUGGUAUUGUUGUUUGGUGUGACUACAAUAAAUACAAGUUAUAGUUGAUUGUUUUAAUAAAUAUUUCUGCUGAUCCUUA